UACGGAGGGUGCAAGCGUUAGUCCGGAUUCACUGGGUUUAAAGGGUGCGUAGGUGGACAGGUAAGUCAGUGGUGAAAUCCCCGAGCUUAACUCGGGAACUGCCGUUGAUACUAUCUGUCGUUGAAUAUCGCGGAGGUAAGCGGAAUAUGUCAUGUAGCGGUGAAAUGCUUAGAUAUGACAUAGAACACCGAUUGCGAAGGCAGCUUACUACACGAUCAUUGACACUGAGGCACGAAAGCGUGGGAGCAAACAGG
RNAcentral lists this ribosomal RNA (254 nucleotides) under uncultured bacterium. RNAcentral's name for it is "partial 16S ribosomal RNA". It matches the Rfam family "Bacterial small subunit ribosomal RNA", at positions 524 to 776 of the family's 1533-position model. The record is from RNAcentral.